AUGGUGCUGGUUUCCUCUGCCCCUUCCACAAAAGCAAAGUUAUGCACCAGUAUUGCAGCAUUAACACUCCAGUGUAUAGUGGCAACAUUAGCAGCUCCAAUAGCCUUGCCUGGUUGCCCGGAGGCAUGUGGCAGCAUAGCCGUCCCCUACCCUUUUGGCUUCCGGCAAGGGUGCUUCCGCACGGGCUUCAAUCUCACGUGCGACGAGACGCGCCAGCCACCGAAGCUGCUGGUGGGUGAUGGCGCGGAAGUGGUUGAUAUUUCUCUGACGGAUGGUACGUUGCGGAUCCACAGCAAGAUGGUGAGUAUCUGGCUGAACACAAGAUCUAAUCAAUCAGAUGGCUUGUGGUCCGCUGGCCUGACGGAUGAGGGCCCCCUGAUAGUGUCCAUCGAUCACAACCGGUUCGUUGCUAUGGGCUGCAAUGUCUUAGCCAGCCUCAUUGCCUCUUCUGGCGACUAUGUUAGUGUCUGUUCCGUGUAUUGUCCUGACAGACCGUGGGUGAGCGACACCUCAUGUUCUGGUGUCGGCUGCUGCCAGAUGCCCAUCGCACGGCUAGGUCUCCCGUCCUAUGACCUCCAGCUUGGUGCUUUGAACUGGAGAACCGGUGAUUCAUUGAGAUAUGGAGCGGUGUUCAUAGCUGACCAAGAGUGGUUGGCCCGAAAGGCACCCAUGCUGCAGUUGAAUUACUUUGACAACCCAUAUAAGAUUGUUGAUUCCACGUUGAUCCCAACGUUGGUAGAAUGGUCACUUCAUGUGGGAGAUGACGGGAAAUUGUACUGGGGACGGGAUGGCUUUGAUUUAUAUGAACACAGGGGAUCCGUAAGUGUAAACUGCUUCAUAGUCGCAGAUGGUCUUUAUAUCCAAAAGGCACGGUGCAACUGCUCCAAAGGAUACGAGGGCAACCCUUACAUCGCAAAUGGAUGCCAAGAUAUUGAUGAGUGCCAACGGCCAGACAUUUAUCCAUGCCAUGGAACCUGCAUCAAUGUGCCGGGGACAUACCGAUGCCUUGCAAAGAAAGGUAUCACGAGCCUCCCAGGUCUGAUUACUGUAAUUGCAAUUAGUGCUGGUUCUGGCAUACUGUUUGCACUUCUGGGUAUUGCCAAAAUCACCAAUAAACUCAAGCAACGAAGAGCCAAGAAGUUGAGACAAAAGUUCUUCAAGAAAAAUCAUGGAUUGCUUCUGCAACAGCUAAUCUCUUCAAACAAAGAGAUAGCAGAAAGAACAAGGAUUUUCAGCUUGGAAGAGCUGGAGCAAGCAACCAACAAAUUUGACCAGAAUCGCAUCCUUGGUGGCGGUGCCAUGGCACUGUCUACAAAGGCAUCUUAUCUGAUCAACAUGUGGUAGCCAUCAAGAAGGCUAAAAUUGUAGUUCAAAGGGAAAUCGACCAGUUCAUAAAUGAGGUUGUCAUACUUUCACAGACAAACCAUAGGAAUGUGGUGAAGCUCUUUGGCUGCUGCCUCGAGACAGAAGUUCCUCUGCUAGUUUAUGAGUUCAUAUCGAAUGGAACUCUAUCGUAUCAUCUCCAUGGCCAAAGUGAGAACCCUUUGUCAUGGAAAGAUAGAUUAAAAAUUGCAUUGGAAACUGCAAGGGCUUUUGCAUAUCUGCACUCUGCUGCUUCCAUAUCAGUAUACCACAGAGAUAUCAAAUGCGCAAAUAUAUUACUUACUGAUACUUUAACAGCAAAAGUAUCAGAUUUUGGAGCUUCAAGGUCAAUUGCAAUAAAUGAGACAGGAAUACUUACAGCCGUCCAAGGAACGUAUGGUUACCUUGAUCCUGAAUACUACUAUACCAGUCGACUCACGGAGAAGAGUGAUGUUUACAGCUUUGGUGUUAUCCUAGCAGAGCUACUGACGAGGAUGGCACCAGUUUUUUCUUCUCAUUCGUCAGAAAGCACAAGUCUUGCAUCACAUUUUUUGUCACUUAUAAGAGACAAUCGAUUCUCAGAUAUUCUGGAUACACAAAUUGUUGAGGAGGGAGGGGCCGAAGAUGCUGAGGUGGUUGCAAGACUCGCAGAAGCAUGCUUAAGUUUAAAAGGUGAAGAAAGGCCUACAAUGAGACAAGUGGAGACAACACUUGAAGAUGUGCUGAACUUAAAGGUCAAUCUCAGUUCUCAGAUCACAAGACUGAACCAGAAUUGUAUAAAUGAUCAGUCAUACAAGGGAAGCAAAGGUAGCGAAGGAACUAGGCUGUACAGCUUGGAAAAAGAGUUCAUGCAUUCAUUUGAAAUUCCAAGAUGA
RNAcentral lists this ribosomal RNA (2237 nucleotides) under Triticum aestivum (bread wheat). RNAcentral's name for it is "partial small subunit ribosomal RNA". The record is from RNAcentral. Lineage: Eukaryota; Viridiplantae; Streptophyta; Magnoliopsida; Poales; Poaceae.